CUGGCGGCGUGCCUAACACAUGCAAGUCGAGCGAGGAGAUCCUUCGGGAUGAUCCUAGCGGCGGACGGGUGAGUAACACGUGGGCAACCUGCCUCAUAGAGAGGAAUAGCCUUCCGAAAGGGAGAUUAAUACCUCAUAACAUUGCAGUUUCGCAUGGAACAGCAAUUAAAGGAGCAAUCCACUAUGAGAUGGGCCCGCGGCGCAUUAGCUAGUUGGUGAGGUAACGGCUCACCAAGGCGACGAUGCGUAGCCGACCUGAGAGGGUGAUCGGCCACAUUGGGACUGAGACACGGCCCAGACUCCUACGGGAGGCAGCAGUGGGGAAUAUUGCACAAUGGGGGAAACCCUGAUGCCAGCAACGCCGCGUGAGUGAUGACGGCCUUCGGGUUGUAAAGCUCUGUCUUCAGGGACGAUAAUGACGGUACCUGAGGAGGAAGCCACGGCUAACUACGUGCCAGCCGCGGC
This 465-nucleotide ribosomal RNA is filed under the name uncultured bacterium. RNAcentral's name for it is "bacterial SSU rRNA". It matches the Rfam family "Bacterial small subunit ribosomal RNA", at positions 36 to 518 of the family's 1533-position model. The record is from RNAcentral.